RNAcentral lists this ribosomal RNA (647 nucleotides) under uncultured bacterium. Its description in RNAcentral is "bacterial SSU rRNA". It matches the Rfam family "Bacterial small subunit ribosomal RNA", at positions 751 to 1398 of the family's 1533-position model. The record is from RNAcentral.
GUGCGAAAGCAUGGGUAGCGAAGAGGAUUAGAUACCCUCGUAGUCCAUGCCGUAAACGAUGUGUGCUAGACGUUGGAAAUUUAUUUUUCAGUGUCGCAGCGAAAGCGUUAAGCACACCGCCUGGGGAGUACGACCGCAAGGUUAAAACUCAAAUGAAUUGACGGGGACCCGCACAAGUAGUGGAGCAUGUGGUUUAAUUCGAAGAUACGCGCAGAACCUUACCAACACUUGACAUGUUCGUCGCGACUCUAAGAGAUUAGAGUUUUCGGUUCGGCCGGACGAAACACAGGUGCUGCAUGGCUGUCGUCAGCUCGUGUCGUGAGAUGUUGGGUUAAGUCCCGCAACGAGCGCAACCCUUACUUUUAGUUGCUACCAUUCAGUUGGGCACUCUAAAAGAACUGCCGGUGAUAAGCUGGAGGAAGGUGGGGAUGACGUCAAGUCCUCAUGGCCCUUAUGUGUUGGGCUACACACGUGCUACAAUGGUAUUUACAGUGGGAUGCAAAGAGGCAACUCCAAGCCAACCCCCAAAGAAUACCUCAGUUCGGAUUGUACUCUGCAACUCGAGUACAUGAAGCUGGAAUUACUAGUAAUCGCGGAUCAGCGCGCCGCGGUGAAUACGUUCCCGGGUCUUGCACACACUGCCCGUC